This is a non-coding RNA of Peromyscus maniculatus bairdii (prairie deer mouse), 1044 nucleotides long. Lineage: Eukaryota; Metazoa; Chordata; Mammalia; Rodentia; Cricetidae. The record is from RefSeq and is a predicted model, not a curated record.
AGAUGUAAAGUACCGCUGCAGAGUAUUGGGGAAGCACCCCCAUACAGACUCAUGCCUCGUUACAGCUUCCCCUAGUUGGUGGAAACAGGGAAAGCUCAGGGGAGGAGAGGGAGAGAGGAGAGAGGAGAGGAAGAAAGUGCUGAGAUGAUUUCCCUUCUCGGACCUCACUCUCCUGUGCACUCAUGUGUGGACAUGUCCUCUCUUUGGUUUCAGGGCAUCUGACACCUCACACAGACACACAUGAAGGCAAACCACCAAUGAACAUAAGAUAAGGGGAGAGAGAAAGCUGUCCCAAGCUACCACAGAACAAGGAGUCAAGACGCCUCACUUCUGCUUCUCUGUUCUCCAUCUCAGUUCACCUCCUUGUGCCCAGCGUUAGUCAACCGUGAAAGACUGAGAAACUGGGCUGCUGAGAUGGUUUAGUGGGUAAAGGCCUUGCUGCCAACCUUGACAAGCCAAGUGUGAUCCCUGGAAACCACAUGGUGGAUGGAGAGAGCGGACUUCCACACGUUGUCCUCAGACGUCCACAGAUGAAAGGUUACUGUGUUACCCUCCUUGGGCUGCUGUUGCAAAAGACUCCAAAUCCCUAGGAACAAAACAAAAUAAGUGUGUCAUCCUGAACCAACUUGCCAUGACUGAUCUAAAAGGAAGACCCUGAUCUGGGGUUCUGGACGGACAUACAUCUUGCAGAGGUGAGUUGGACCUGGGCUGGACUGCAGGGAUCGAUUAAAGCUGGCCCAGGACCCUGAUUGACCAGGCUGAGCAAACACCACGGUCCUCAUAUAGCUCCAGCCUCUUCCCCAGCUUCACUCUGCAGCUGACCCAGGCAGGGAAGUAGUCCUUUGCUUCUGCACCACGUGGUGAAACCUCAAAGGCCAAAGACCCCAGAGCCAUGCAGGGUCUCGGGACUCUGUUCCUGCUGCUGGCUGCCUCUCUGGCUUCAAAGGCUGACCCAGUGGAAACACUUCCAGACAUCCAGGUUCAGGAGAAUUUCAGCGUGUCUGGGAUCUAUGGAAAAUGGUUCAACCUGGCGAUAGGCUCCAC